CUCUUGGGGAAGGAGCAUUUGGUAAAGUUUUUAAAGCAGAAACUGUUGGUUUAAAUAAAGCUCCAACAACUGCCAUAGCAGUCAAGAUGUUGAAGGGUAAAAUUUACUUAUAUAUUUUAGAUCAAAAAUCAAAUAGUAUUAAUGAAAACUGGAUUUAUGCUUAGGUUUUCUUUUUUUAUUAGACAAGCAUAAAAUUUUGGGAAAUAAGAAUUGAAUUUUUUCCAUCUUUUUUAUCUUUAUUGAAAAAUUUGCAUUGUUAUGGCCCUGCAACGAAUAUGGCCCGCAACAAAGAUGUCGGUGCCAUAUAGUUUUAUCCAUGUCCGUAAUUCGGUCAUUCCGUAAUUCUGUCAUUCCGUCAUUCCAUCAUUCUGUCAUUCCCUAAUUCCACAACUAGGAAUUGUUAAGUUUCAGUUUUGUUCCGCUUGGCUCAUUUUUGCUAUAAUUAUGGGCUUUGAACUUUGAUAAUUUUUUGAAAAUCACAGUUAAAAGGAUGAAUUGUUUGAGUAUAAAGGACAAGAUUAUAAAUAUCCAAUUAAUGUUCUGAUUCAAACAAUAAAAUAAUUACAAAUCAAUUAAUGUCAUUAGUGCUGUAAUGAAUUGUUAAAAUCUCAAUACUUUUAUUUUUUGUUUGAUGAUUCUAGCUGUUAAUCUGGAUUAUCCCACCUCAAUCAACAGGCCUUGAAGUAAUAAAUAUUUGAGUCAGUUUUUUGUACUUAAACAAAUAAAAACCAAUCAAAAUGCUGGAUUUUAUGUUUUGAGCAAGAUUUUUGUGCUCCGAGCACUGAGCAAAGUUUUAUGACUUCAACCCCAGGUCUAAUGAAUGUCAAAACAAAUCAGUGACAGGUUGACCUUGUUCCUAAUUAAAUUUGUUCAGGUUACAAUUAUGUGAUAAUCAUGUUUUCAAUCAUAAUUUCUUGAAAGGUUUUAAACAGUUGUUUAAAAGUUGAAAAGUUACAAAGUAAAAACGUAUUUAUAAAAAUAAACUUCUCAUAGAAUAAAUCAUCACUUUACAAUAUUAUGUCACAUGACUGACCAACAUGACUUGUGAUCACCUGAUAUAUUAUAUGGUUUAUCUUUUCAAAAUGAGUGUUGUUUAUUCAAUUUUCAUACACUUUUCUUCAACUCUUCACAUACAAAACAAUAAGUUAUGACAACAAGGAACACAACUCUAGGCUGAUUUAACCAAUAACAAAAGCUUUAUUGUGUCUUCAAUAUUAAGACAAUUGGCAAAUUUCCGGAUUGCAAAACAUAUUGACAAAUUUACACGAAAAACGUAACAACAAAGAUAUAAAAUGUAUUUUAUUUGAAUAAAACAUGACAAAUCAAGAAUAUUAAUAUUAUAACACAUAAAAAACAAUCAAGGUUUGAGCAAAAAAAAUCCUUACUUUUCACUUCAAUUGGAAAUUUCUUGGUCCAAUUUUGGACCUGAAAAAAAACUAAGAAAAUAUUUGUAGUCAUGUAUAACACACAGGGUAUAAAUGUAAAUGUGUUCGUUAUACAUACCAAAAGACAGUACUCCUUAUUACAUAAACAUGGAUAGUUUGUAGGAUCGAUUAAAACCCAUUUUAAUGUCCCAUUUAUUAUGCCCCAUUUUGGUGCAUUAUGUUUUCUGUUCUGUGCGUCCAUUCAUUCGUUCUUUUGUCUGUCCAUUUGUUCAUCUGUCCAUCCAUUGGUUCGUUCUUCCGUCCGUUUGUCCUUCCGUCUGUCUGUCCCGCUUCAGGUUAAAGGAUUGGUUAAAGUUUUUGGUAGAGGUAGUUUUUGAUGAAGUUGAAGUCCAAUCAACUUGAAACUUAGGGCUCAUGUUUUCUAUUUUAUAAUCUUUGUAAUUUUUAUGCCAAACUAGAAAUUUUCCCCCAUUUUCAAGGUCCACUGAACAUAGAAAAUGAUAGUGUGGAUGGGCUAUUCAUGUACUGGGGACACAUUCUUGUUAGCUAUAACCAUUUGAGCUUAUGUUAUCACUAAUGACUUGGCGUCCAUCAUCAUCUGUUGUUAACUAUUUCAAAAAACCUUCUCUGAAACUACUCUGAAACUACUGGAGCAAAGAUUUCAAACUUUAACAAAAAAAAAUUUCCUUAAUUAUCUGGUAUCUUGCUUAUAAAUUGUAUCCGAAGUUUUGAUCCAUCGACAAACAUGGCUGCCAUUGUUGGGUUCCUGCCACUAAAUUGGUUAUUUUAAGGAUUUUUUUUAGUUUUUUGUAUGAAAUUAAUUAAAGAUAAAGAUAAACUGUAAACAGCAAAAAAUGUUCAGCAAAGUAACAUCUUCAAAAAUGUUUUUUAUGACAAAAAUUGUCAAUUGACCCGUUACGGAGUUAUUGACCUUUAAGGAAAAUUACACAAGUUGUUUUAUUUUUUUUUUUAACUAUAUAAAUCUUCGCAAAUGAAUUUAGUAUAAAUUUGUAUUUUAUUUCCUUGUACUUCAAGAAACAAAGACACUAUGGUUAAAAUGGAACAAAUGGGUAAAAUGCAUUUAUUUGCUUUUAAUGAAAAUAUGACAGAUACAAUGAACAUUGUAUUGGCAUUUGUAAGCCUCUUAUUAUUAAAUAUAAAUUGAAAAGCAAAAACAGUCAUUGAUGAAAGAUUUAAGCAAAAAAACAAACUUGUGAGCAAUGCAAGCUCUGCUUGUUCUAUUGGGGAUCCAAGGCAGUGGCGUAGCCAGGGUUGAAAUGAUGUGGAUGUUUUGCCGAGUCGAGCGAGCCGAAAAAUGUUUUGGACCUUUUUGUGCAGAAAAUAUUUUUUAUUUAAGCACAUGUACUCCCCCAGAAUCCGACACUAGUUAGAUUUUUGUUUAAAUUCAAAAUACCCACCAAUUCAUAUAUUUAUAUUUUUAACCAAAUUUUAUUGUUUUCUUGAAACUACCAUCAUUCAAUUCAUAAAUAUUUGAUGUAAAGUUUCCCCCCCAAUCUUCUAUUUGACAUAUCAAAAACCGUUUAAACGGACUCCAUUACAGCGGCACUUCUGUAUAAUUUAGGAACUUCUGAGUAUAGGAACUGAAGUGACUUCUCUUUCCAGGAAUUUGAGUCUACAACCUUUGAUUUUUUAUUACUGAGCUAAACGCAUGCAGGAGACAUAAAAAUACCGGGCGUCCGAUCGUCCGGUAUUGUUAGCACUCUCAUGUGUACAAUUCAUGUCAGAUUAAGUGAAACUCAUAUCAUAAGCAAUGUCUUUGACAAUUUUGAAAAUAAUUCGUAAUCAAAUAUUUUUAACUAGUAAUGUCCCUUUGAAAUAUAAAUUGUAAUGGAAAUCCCAUUUCAUUUGCUGUGAAGCUUUUAUUUCUUUUUAGAUAUUAAAAAUAAAAAAGAAAAAGAAAUAAAAGUUUUUUUUAGUUAUUCCCUUGUUCCUUGGCCUUUGAUAGAUAAAAUAUGACAUGUAAUGUGCAUGGCGGGGAAUAUUGGAUCUUUGUUCUUUACUGAAUAAAAAUAAAAUUAGUAUUUGAACCUAAAUAGAAACGGGAAUUCAUAAGCCUAGGACUUAUCACGAUCUAUUACAAAUUGAUUUGUUUUAUCACGUCGUUUACAAUGUCGCAAGAAACGAUAUCAGGAUAUGGUGUUUUAGUUGUUAGUUACUAUAGUCAAAUGAGAAGCCAUCCCUCCACUAGGUUCAAUUUCAGAUGAAACAUGUCCACGGGUCUGCGUAUCAGUCCUCUCCGCUUGCCUUAGCUGAUGACAUAGACUAUUUAUACGAAGAAAAGUUAACUUGAAACACUAUUCUGCGAUUCAUGUAUCAAACUAAAUUAUCCUAAAUGAAAGACCAGGCAUACUGCUUCGAAAAUGACUGGAUGUUAUCCUCAUAUCCUCAGCCUUGUUACAUUUUGAUACUUCCGAGUUAAACUGCUGUUUUUUUUUAUUUUUGUUUUGUCAAAAUGAUGUGGAUGCUUGAGCAUCUGAGCAUACAUGCAAGCUAUGCCACUGCAAGGGGAGGGUUCCUGAUCAAUGUUUUUGAAUGGGGACAUAUAGUCCUGGGUUGGGACAAAUUACUUUUGAUUCAUUAACAUUAGUUUGAUACCAAUUUUCGUGGGUACAGGUGAACAUUGAAUUCAAAUGUUCAUUGAAUAACAUAUUUUGAAUAGGCUUUGAAUACAGAGAUUGGAAAAAUUACAAAAUCAAAUAUCCACGAUUAUGCAAGUUUUAAGCAAUCCAUGAAAAUGAAUGAAUCCACAGUAUUCUUUGAAUGUGACCAAUGGUUUUAUCCAUUAAUAAUUGUCAAUAUUAUUUAAAUAUUUUAGAGGAUGCAACCGAUAGAGAAUUGACAGAUUUAAUGCAAGAAAUGGAAGUGAUGAAAUUAAUAGGAUGCCAUGAAAAUAUUAUUAAUUUCCUGGGAUGUUGUACACAAAAUGGUAAGUGGUGUACUUUAAGGGUUAAAAACGAUCUUGGUCCAAUGGGCAGCACUUGUUGUCUGUCGUCCAUAUUAAAUGUCCGUUAACUUUUAAAAAAUCUUCUCCUCGAAAUUACACAGGACCCAUGCUCUGAGAAAACCAUCAACUGCCCCCUGUCUGAUUUGCUCCAAAUGGUUUAGUUUCAGAGAUAUAUACAAAAAUCUGCAUUUUACCCCUAUGUUCCAUUUUUAUUCAUGUGGGCCAUGAGGGUUGGAAGGUGGGGUCAUCUGAUACAUUUUUUAAAGAAAAAACAUAUUAAUUAUUAUGGUCAAGUAUGGUUAAAUGUGUCUCAGUAGUUUCAUAGAAAGAAGAUUACCCACACAUGUCAGAUUUGCUCUAGGUGUAAUACCACCAUUGAUUUUUCCCUAUUAAAAUUGAAAAAGGAAAUGGGGAAUGUGUCAAAGCGACAACAACUCGCCCAUAGUCUUUGUUAAAUUUGCACUUUUAGAAAAAAUGUGCAGAAUUUAUCUUUGUUACAAAUAAAGAUAUACUUGGCAUGAGUAAAGUUUUAUCCUGUCCAGUACUAUAGAAAAAAUUUAACAUAACAUUUGAUUGCAUACAAGAAAAUAACCAUCAUUGGAACUUAACCAAUCAAAGGAGUAGGAGCAAUAAGGCCCUUAUUCGGCCCAAAAAUUACUGUAAAUUAAAAAGUUAUCAUACAUAUAGUAGAUAAGAUGCACACAGAUAUACAGAUUAUGUGACGUCAUUUAAAUAUAUUGGUAGAUAAGGUGUACAUCGUAGUUACAAAGCGAGUUAAAGUGGUUGUGAAUCGAAAUAUAUAUAUAUAUUAUUGUGGAAAUUCCAAUACGUCACAAAGCAAUAUGGCGAUUGUUUACAUCAAUGUUGACAAUGAGUUGACAAUGAGAUGAUGUGUUGAAACACGAAAAGGAAAAUAUCUCUCGAAUGUGAAUAAAAUGCAUGCAAACGUAAGUGAAUCUAUAUAUCAGAUAUUUUAUUUAGUAUAAAAGAAUGCAGUAUUAUUCGAUUUUGUUUUAUAAAGAAUAUCAAUUGUGGUAAAUAUAAAUAAUGUGUGUUGCAUGAAUUUAAUAUUUGAAAUUUCAAUAUUUUCACAACCAUAAAAGAAAUUGUGUUUAUUUAAAUAUUAUGGAAUCUAACAUCUGAACAAGAAUUUGUGUAUUAAUAUUCAUGUCACGUGAUAAGAUAGGCACGAUAGUAGAUAAGGUGCACACAGAUAUACAGAUUAUGUGACGUCAUUUAAAUAUAUUGGCAGAUAAGGUGUACAUCCUAGUUACAAAGCGAG
Molecule: long non-coding RNA, 5632 nt
Filed under: Mytilus galloprovincialis (Mediterranean mussel)
Lineage: Eukaryota; Metazoa; Mollusca; Bivalvia; Mytilida; Mytilidae
Source: RNAcentral